UUUCUACUGUUUUUCCACUGAUAAUGCAAGAGAUUGAGAGGAUCGCCUUGUUCUGGUAAUUUGGUCCUCACACGAGUCCUCAGGCAAUCUGGGCCGUUGCUUGUCUGAACCUUUGCUUCUUCUUCAGCUUCGUCGACGCUGCUUCAGUUAUCUUCAGAGGAGCCGUGGCUUGGGUCCUCUCCUGGCACCUAUUGCGAGUCCACGACGAACAAGGAUCGCGGUUCUCACAAAUUACGCCAGCCCAUCAGUUCGAGAUCACGAACAAAACCCGCGGAGAUCGAGCUAGGAAAGAUCGAACGAAACUCUACAGAAACGGAGAUGGGAAGAGAUCGGUGGUACCAAUUCCAAAGCAGCGGCGGCAGUGCCCUCAUCUCCCCCGCCGUCCGUGGAGGCGGGCGAGGCUCGGGGCGCCACGCGCGCCUCUGCCGCGUGGGUGGUGAGGGCUGCCUCGGCUAAGCGCGUCGCCGUCGUGGGGAGAGGAGGAGGAAGAGUAGAAAUGGGCCUGCCUCGCCGGAUGCCCGCGACCUGUUCGACGGAAUGCGGCUGCGGCCAACGCCGCGCGGUGGCAUAAGAAAGAGCCCAAAGCUGGACAGCAUGCAAACUUCUGACCACGAAAAAUAAUCAAAGAUGUGCCGAGCAAGCAUUGAGAUCUAGGCGCGUAUAUGGGUUGGCGCAACGAAGAAGGGGAACGGACCUUGGAGGUUGCUGUCGAGCCAUUUGGACUGCCUGGUGCGGAUGUGGCUCGCCCACCACCACGAGUAGGCGUUGCUGGCCGCCCGCUGCAGCAUCCUGCCUCUCCUCCGCCGCCGCGCUUCUCCAGCCGCCGGACUCGAACUGGAAGGUCAGCAAUGUGCAUUGCCUACAUUUGCAGCGUGGAUGUAUGUCAUCUUCUAAGAUGAACGAGACGGCGGCGGCGGAGAGGAGGAAGAACAGAGGAGAAGGGGCAGAGCAGGAACCGAAUACUUCGUAGCAAUCUUCCGGCGGAGAUGCUUGAUUCAUUGGCAGAAGAACGGAAGCGGGCAGUAGGUGGUAGUGGAAGAGAAGUGGUGGUGAUGGCAUGGUGCAGGGCUCUGGGAGCUCUAGUCUCUGAGAUGUGGGUCCCGGGGGUGUGUGCUGUCCUGGGUCGCGGCCUGUGCUGCUGCUCGUGCUCGGCACGUCGGGAUGUGCACGACGUUGGGCCAGAAGUAGCUCUGAGAUGGGCCGUGGGCUCAACUUGUGCCUUCGCCUCUUUUUUUUGCAUGUCUUUUCCUUUUUCCUUUUCUUUUGCAGAAUUGGUGUCAGUAGCAAGUUAAAGCUGAUGCAAACAGAUAAGGUGUUGUUUUGUUCUUAGAAAAAGUAAAAAUAAAAAGAUAAGAAAUUUCUUUUGGACACCUACA
Long non-coding RNA from Triticum aestivum (bread wheat), 1376 nucleotides. RefSeq lists it as uncharacterized. The record is from RefSeq and is a predicted model, not a curated record. NCBI's taxonomy places the organism in Eukaryota, Viridiplantae, Streptophyta, Magnoliopsida, Poales, Poaceae. The transcript has 3 exons.